This is a non-coding RNA of Cyanistes caeruleus (blue tit), 807 nucleotides long. Lineage: Eukaryota; Metazoa; Chordata; Aves; Passeriformes; Paridae. The record is from RefSeq and is a predicted model, not a curated record.
AAAUUUCUUCUUGGACAGUGAGCAGUACCCAAGAACACAUAUGGGAAGGACAGGACCAUGAAGCUUCCUGAAGCUUUGUUGUGUGAACUGGAGAUUGCCAGACCCUACGUCCCAGUCCACGUCACGGCCUAGUUCUGGAGUCCAGCUUGUCUGUGUGGAUCUUAUGGGAAGCUGUGUCAAAAACUGCUCUCCUAAAAUCCAGGGCAGUGAAACUACCAUUUUUCUCAUCUCCUCAGGAUCCUGAACUCCACCAUCCCAUGGUCACUGCAGCCAAGGCUUCCCUCGACUUUCACAGUUUUGACCAGUUCUUUGUUUAAAGGGUCAGGCCUAGGCAGACUGUGCCCACCCACCAGCUCCUCAAUCACCUGUGUCUGGAAGCUGGCUCCAAUGUACUCCAGGAACCUCUUGAAUGACUUUUGUGCUGCUGUGAUGUCCCUCCAGCAGUUUUUGGGAUAGUUAAGGUCCCCUAUUAGGACCAAUGCCAGUCCAGAUAAAUCUCACAGGACACAGAAGAUGAAUAUUACAGAAUUUAAUGUUGCUCUUAAGCCUGUAAUUUCAACAUUUGACAUCCUGAAAAUUGCAAAAAGAUCAGAGCUUUAUUUGAAAGAAGACACUGCUGGACCUUGCUCACCUUUAUUAAGAUGUUUUCACCUAAACAAGGUGCUUAAGGAUAGUCUCUGCAACCAGAUAUCAACAUGGAGAGACAGUAAAAUAUUUUUCUAUCUGCUCUUCACCACUGAAAUUUAAUCUCAUAUGCUACAUGCCAGCCAUGAAGGUAUUAGAGAGCUUCAUGUCCAUCACUUUUUA